UGCUGCAUGCAAAUAUAUACGGUAAGUACUGCUCAGUGCCCUUGGGGUAAACAGCGGCGUAAAGUUUUAAAGUAGCGAAAUACCUAGCCCUUUAAUUGGGGGCGUGCAUGAAUGUAUAAACGAGGGAAAAACUGUCUCUUUCGUAUAGGCUGAAAUUGAAUUUCAAGUGAAGUUGCUUGAAUUCUUCUAAAAGACGACAAGACCCCAGCAGUUUUACCUAAGUAAAGAUAGAUUUUUGUGAUGGAUUGGCUGGGGCAGCAGGAGAAUAGGCAAAAUUUCUCCCCCUUUAGAGAAAUUUUAAAUGGCGGUUAAAGAGCUAGCACGGCUAAUCAAGGGCAUGAGUUACGCUGGGGGUAACAGGACGGUCUGAAAAUGGAGGGCAUAUCGGUUUUUGGGUGCGUUACAUCGAUGUUGAAUCAGGGGUACGCCUGGGUGCAGGAGCUCAGGUUAAAGGGUCUGUUCGACCUUUAGAGCCCU
This 477-nucleotide ribosomal RNA is filed under the name Pinctada nigra. RNAcentral's name for it is "partial 16S ribosomal RNA". It matches the Rfam family "Bacterial large subunit ribosomal RNA", at positions 1829 to 2597 of the family's 2925-position model. Lineage: Eukaryota; Metazoa; Mollusca; Bivalvia; Pterioida; Pteriidae. RNAcentral also lists the same sequence under 1 other name. The record is from RNAcentral.